CUCGCUGUCGUUGUUGAAUGGCCUGGAAAGCGCUGCGUAGGGGCGAGUGCAACCGAACGUUACAAAUUACGGUGGGAACUUCUCUCCGUGCUACGUGAUUGCGACGACAAGGACGGCUAGCAGCAGCGUGUCGCCGAUUUCGUCUUUGCCGACAUCGAACAAGUGCAGCUCGCCGGAGCGGGGCAAGCACCUGAAGUGUUGCGGUCUGCACUGGCGUCGUCUUUCAUUGUGAUGUGAGAGAUCGUAACGCACAGAGACUGCCAGGUGCAUACGAAAGCCUACCAGCAGGGAGUGACUGUGCCAUUUUUCUCUUAACGUCUCAGAUAUUGAAGAAGCGGCAACAGCCACAGGAAGUAGCCAUCUUAUCCAGCACGUUAUAGGUAGAACUUGGCGGCUCCUGCUCCUGCCUUCCGCCACCACCCUGUCCUGACUAUGUCCACGAGAGAGUUGGCAGCCUCAGUGAAGAUGCCAAGCAGGCCGAUGGCAGACAGCAAGAUGCAGGU
Dermacentor silvarum is the source of this 503-nucleotide long non-coding RNA. RefSeq lists it as uncharacterized. The record is from RefSeq and is a predicted model, not a curated record. NCBI's taxonomy places the organism in Eukaryota, Metazoa, Arthropoda, Arachnida, Ixodida, Ixodidae. The transcript has 3 exons.